Molecule: ribosomal RNA, 228 nt
Filed under: uncultured Lactobacillus sp.
Lineage: Bacteria; Bacillati; Bacillota; Bacilli; Lactobacillales; Lactobacillaceae
Description: partial 16S ribosomal RNA
Rfam family: Bacterial small subunit ribosomal RNA
Source: RNAcentral
GAGAUCGGGAUAACACCUGGAAACAGAUGCUAAUACCGGAUAACAACAGAUGAUGCCUAUCAACUGUUUAAAAGAUGGUUCUGCUAUCACUCUUGGAUGGACCUGCGGUGCAUUAGCUAGUUGGUAGGGUAACGGCCUACCAAGGCGAUGAUGCAUAGCCGAGUUGAGAGACUGAUCGGCCACAUUGGGACUGAGACACGGCCCAAACUCCUACGGGAGGCAGCAGCU